GCCGGGUGCGGUGGCUCAUGCCUGUAAUCCCAGCACUUUGGGAGGCUGAGGUGGGUGGAUCACUUGAGGUCAGGAGUUCAAGACCAGCCUGGCCAACACAGUGAGAUCCCAUCUCUA
RNAcentral lists this non-coding RNA (117 nucleotides) under Pan troglodytes (chimpanzee). Lineage: Eukaryota; Metazoa; Chordata; Mammalia; Primates; Hominidae. The record is from Rfam by way of RNAcentral.